This 72-nucleotide transfer RNA is filed under the name Ovis aries (sheep). It matches the Rfam family "tRNA". From Rfam's summary of the family: Transfer RNA (tRNA) molecules are approximately 80 nucleotides in length. Their secondary structure includes four short double-helical elements and three loops (D, anti-codon, and T loops). Lineage: Eukaryota; Metazoa; Chordata; Mammalia; Artiodactyla; Bovidae. The record is from Rfam by way of RNAcentral.
UCCCUGGUGGCUCAGCUGGUAAAGAAUCCGCCUGCAAUGCGGGAGACCUGGGUUUGAUCCCUAGACUGGGAA